GACGAACGCUGGCGGCGUGCCUAAUACAUGCAAGUCGAACGCUGAAGGAGGAGCUUGCUUCUCUGGAUGAGUUGCGAACGGGUGAGUAACGCGUAGGUAACCUGCCUGGUAGCGGGGGAUAACUAUUGGAAACGAUAGCUAAUACCGCAUAAUAUUGACUAUUGCAUGAUAGUCAGUUGAAAGGUGCAACUGCACCACUACCAGAUGGACCUGCGUUGUAUUAGCUAGUUGGUGGGGUAACGGCUCACCAAGGCGACGAUACAUAGCCGACCUGAGAGGGGGAUCGGCCACACUGGGACUGAGACACGGCCCAGACUCCUACGGGAGGCAGCAGUAGGGAAUCUUCGGCAAUGGACGGAAGUCUGACCGAGCAACGCCGCGUGAGUGAAGAAGGUGUUCGGAUCGUAAAGCUCUGUUGUAAGAGAAGAACGAGUGUGAGAGUGGAAAGCUCACACUGUGACGGUAUCGUACCAGAAAGGGACGGCUAACUACGU
This 494-nucleotide ribosomal RNA is filed under the name uncultured bacterium. Its description in RNAcentral is "partial 16S ribosomal RNA". It matches the Rfam family "Bacterial small subunit ribosomal RNA", at positions 28 to 506 of the family's 1533-position model. The record is from RNAcentral.